AUCAAAGUUUUUAGCUGACUUGCUAUGCUUCACGGCAGCAAUACCAAAUGAUCCCCCGCAAUGCUGUGAGCCCUAGGAUUUAUUUUCCUUUUUAUGGUAGGAGGCCUAACCGGCACUGUACUAGCCAACUCAUCAUUAGACAUUGUGUUAUAUGACAGAUACUAUGUUGUAGCCCACUUCCACUACGUCUUAUUAAUAGGAGCCAUAUUCACUAUUAUAGGGG
This 223-nucleotide long non-coding RNA is filed under the name Homo sapiens (human). RNAcentral's name for it is "non-protein coding lnc-TRABD2A-6:1". Lineage: Eukaryota; Metazoa; Chordata; Mammalia; Primates; Hominidae. The record is from RNAcentral.